This 393-nucleotide ribosomal RNA is filed under the name uncultured bacterium. RNAcentral's name for it is "bacterial SSU rRNA". It matches the Rfam family "Bacterial small subunit ribosomal RNA", at positions 28 to 424 of the family's 1533-position model. The record is from RNAcentral.
GACGAACGCUGGCGGCGUGCUUAACACAUGCAAGUCGAGCGGUAAGGCCCUUUCGGGGGUACACGAGCGGCGAACGGGUGAGUAACACGUGGGUGACCUGCCCUUAGCUCUGGGAUAAGCCUGGGAAACUGGGUCUAAUACCGGAUAUGACUCCAUGACGCAUGUUGUGGGGUGGAAAGCCUUGUGCGGCUAGGGAUGGGCCCGNGGCCUAUCAGCUUGUUGGUGGGGUGAUGGCCUACCAAGGCGACGACGGGUAGCCGGCCUGAGAGGGCGACCGGCCACACUGGGACUGAGACACGGCCCAGACUCCUACGGGAGGCAGCAGUGGGGAAUCUUGCGCAAUGGGCGAAAGCCUGACGCAGCGACGCCGCGUGAGGGAUGACGGCCUCGGUU